RNAcentral lists this ribosomal RNA (560 nucleotides) under Trichoderma atroviride. RNAcentral describes it as "eukaryotic LSU rRNA". The stretch from base 192 to 345 matches the Rfam family "5.8S ribosomal RNA". The record is from RNAcentral. Lineage: Eukaryota; Fungi; Ascomycota; Sordariomycetes; Hypocreales; Hypocreaceae.
CAUUUACCGAAGUUUACAACUCCCAAACCCAAUGUGAACCAUACCAAACUGUUGCCUCGGCGGGGUCACGCCCCGGGUGCGUCGCAGCCCCGGAACCAGGCGCCCGCCGGAGGGACCAACCAAACUCUUUCUGUAGUCCCCUCGCGGACGUUAUUUCUUACAGCUCUGAGCAAAAAUUCAAAAUGAAUCAAAACUUUCAACAACGGAUCUCUUGGUUCUGGCAUCGAUGAAGAACGCAGCGAAAUGCGAUAAGUAAUGUGAAUUGCAGAAUUCAGUGAAUCAUCGAAUCUUUGAACGCACAUUGCGCCCGCCAGUAUUCUGGCGGGCAUGCCUGUCCGAGCGUCAUUUCAACCCUCGAACCCCUCCGGGGGUCCGGCGUUGGGGAUCGGGAACCCCUAAGACGGGAUCCCGGCCCCGAAAUACAGUGGCGGUCUCGCCGCAGCCUCUCAUGCGCAGUAGUUUGCACAACUCGCACCGGGAGCGCGGCGCGUCCACGUCCGUAAAACACCCAACUUCUGAAAUGUUGACCUCGGAUCAGGUAGGAAUACCCGCUGAACUUA